Molecule: ribosomal RNA, 220 nt
Filed under: uncultured bacterium
Lineage: Bacteria
Description: partial 16S ribosomal RNA
Rfam family: Bacterial small subunit ribosomal RNA
Source: RNAcentral
CGGACGGGUGAGUAACGCGUGAGAAUCUGCCUUCAGGAUGGGGAGUAACAGCCGGAAACGACUGCUAAAACCCAAAUGUGCCGAGAGGUGAAAUAUUAAUAGCCUGAAGAGGAGCUCGCGUCCGAUUAGCUAGUUGGUGGGGUAAAGGGCUUACCAAGGCAGCGAUCGGUAACUGGUCUGAGAGGAUGACCAGUCACACUGGGACUGAGACACGGCCCAG